Molecule: long non-coding RNA, 267 nt
Organism: Notothenia coriiceps (black rockcod)
Lineage: Eukaryota; Metazoa; Chordata; Actinopteri; Perciformes; Nototheniidae
Exons: 3
Source: RefSeq, a predicted model, not a curated record
UUAAAGGAUCUUGUGACUCCACUCUUCCUAUACUUCAAAAACAUGACAUCAGACUUGAACUGUGUUCCUGAUGGACACACUGACCAGUAUAACCAGGUGAAUGCCAUCCGCACGGCCUGUAAGACGGGAGUGACAGAGUGCCGGACCCUGACAACCGAAUGGUUCAAACAAUGGAUGGAAGCCCCUCAACACAAUUUGAUCCAUCCCAACCUGCGCUCAGUGGUGUACUGCAGUGCCAUGGAGGCAGGAGAGGAGGCAGAGUGGGAG